GAUGAACGCUGGCGGCGUGCCUAAUACAUGCAAGUCGAGCGAACGGACGCGACGCUUGCUUCUCUGAUGUUAGCGGCGGACGGGUGAGUAACACGUGGAUAACCUACCUAUAAGACUGGGAUAACUUCGGGAAACCGGAGCUUACACCGGAUAAUAUUUUGCACCGCAUGGUUCAAAAGUGAGAGACGGUCUUGCUGUCACUUAUAGAGGGAUCCGCGCUGCAUUAGCUAGUUGGUAAGGUAACGGCUUACCAAGGCAAGGAUGCAUAGCCGACCGGAGAGGGUGAUAGGCCACCUGGGAACGGAGACACGGUCCAGACUCCUACGGGAGGCAGCAGUAGGGAAUCUUCCGCAAUGGGCGGAAGCCUGACGGAGCAACGCCGCGUGAGUGAUGAAGGUCUUCGGAUCGUGAAACUCUGUUAUUAGGGAAGAACAUAUGUGUAAGUAACUGUGCACAUCUUGACGGUACCUAAUCAGAAAGCCACGGCUAACUACGUG
Molecule: ribosomal RNA, 497 nt
Filed under: uncultured bacterium
Lineage: Bacteria
Description: partial 16S ribosomal RNA
Rfam family: Bacterial small subunit ribosomal RNA
Source: RNAcentral